CUUGAUGUAAAUAUAUAAAGAUUCUUUUGGGUUUCUGUAGAUAGUAAACUCUUUUUUAAAAAACAAAAAAGGGAAACAUUUUUAUAAAGUUAUAUUUUAAUCACCCUUUUUAUAUAUGGUAGCUAUCUCCAACCCUAGGAAGAGGAUGAUAAUUUGUUUCCAUGGAGGUCUGUGGGUAUCCAUUCACCUACCUAUUCUAGUUUAAAGAUAAUCUCAUGUAAUUAUUUUUGCCAGUUUAAUGAGGAUGCUGAAAAGAAUUUUUUUCCAGUAGUAACUUUUGUUAACUGAAUGCAUUUGGAAUCUUUGUCUUCAAGAUGAAAAAGUUAACCAGCUCCAAAUUUUUAUACUUGGUGUCCAUUUCUCUCCACCAUAGUUUUUGGUUAUAACUCCUCCUCCCAUUCUAUAUACAGAUUUGCUCAUCUUCUAAACAACCUUAGUUUCCAAGAAAACCUCGAUUGUAAUUUCUACUGUUUUACCUUCUCUGAAGUCAUAGAAGGGAGUGUUUACAUUUUAAAAAAUCCUUUGUUUUUCACAAAUGUAAAUUUUUCCCUACCAACGCAUGAUUUUGUAAUAAUCCAUAGCAUUUUUGAUUAGGCAAAGAUACCACAAUAAGAUAAUCAACAUGGUUUCAAGGCAAAAUUUCCAGUAUGUAGGAAAAUGUAAAAACAAUCCAAUGGAUACAGGCUUUACCUAAAUAAUUAAAAUCUGUUUCAGUGUUAUUUCUGUGUUAACACCAAGUCUUCAUUAUUUAGCGCUUACUGAGUUGUUUCCAUUUUCUUAGUAUUGCCUGUGUGUCUCUACAUUUGCAGUAUACUGUGAGUCAAAUAUAUUUCUUAAGUGAAAUGAACUGUUGUCCAUCCCUUGCAAAUAAAAGACAAAAGGGAAAGGCAUUUAUACUGACAUAGCAUUGUAUUUACUUUAAUCUUUUUCCCUUUUCCAAAUGGCUAUAUGUCUGUAUAGUUAAUAUAAAUAUAGGGAAAAGCUAGGUGAGUGGAAUGACACUACCAUUGUGAACCCAUCCAUAGCUGUAUAUAAGCAGUUUUAUUAAAUCUGCAAAGCCUAAGCCAGCCAGGAAGUCUUAGCCACAGCCUGGUUAUGUUUAUUUGCUUUGUUUUAAGGUACAUGAAAUAAUAGGAGUAUUAAUGGCCAAAGCAAUUAGAAUGUCUCGGUUCCAGAUUUGUGUUCAUCAAUCCAGGCAAAUGGAUAAUUUUUUUAAAUAGCCAUUAUAUUUAGACUAGAUGUCAGCUGAAAUGAAAGGAUGGAGAUCCACCAAAUGCAUAACUUUGAUACACACCUGGGACAUCUCCAAGGUUGCCUAGGAACAUAUAAAGGUAUUUUCUGCUAGUGAUGUUUUCCCCUCCUUGGCGACAGCAAUAUUAUUGAGUUCACUUCCAUCUUCAGAGCUUACUUCCUGUGGUGCCAAUGUUAUUUGUUGCAAUUUACUACAUUUUUAUAUGAGCCUACUUAUAGGUGCCAUUAGAUAAACUCAGGUCUCUCGAAUGAAGGGAUUUCUAGCACAGUUAGGGAAAAGGAUAAUUGUAUAGACAGCCAUAAAAAUCAAUAGGAAAAAUUAGAACUCAUUGCUCUCUGUUAAGUAAAAGUCCAAGUGUAUUCUGUGUAUUAUCUAUGUCAUUUUCAACAUGCUAAUAGGCUGCCUUUCCAGUGAUCUAAGUCGAAUAUUUAUUUAGAAUAUUAUUUUCUUGGCUAAAACACCACUUUUGCUUUUUUCUUAACUGAAAAAUUAUUAUUUUCUUGUCAUUUAUGCAAGACUUGGUUUUGUUCUUAGUAGAUGAAGACAGUAGCUCUGUACAGGAAUAUAUCUAUAUUGGUCAUCUAACAUGAAGGAGUUUCUUCAUGUACGUUUCAGAAAGCAUCUACUUUUUAUGGACAUAAUUCAUAAUUCUGUCUGUUCUAUUUUGGUUGAAUUACAGGACAAAUCCUAACCAUUGCAACCCCAGUAGUAUUAAAGAAAACAUGGAAUGUCACGGAGACUGUUCAUUAGCUGUACGUAGACAGUUUAUGUGCGAUUUUCCCAUGUCCCCUUCCCUCCCUUCCCAGAGAAUUUUCCUGAAGGUAAAAGCCAUGCAGAAG
This is a long non-coding RNA of Heterocephalus glaber (naked mole-rat), 2091 nucleotides long. NCBI's taxonomy places the organism in Eukaryota, Metazoa, Chordata, Mammalia, Rodentia, Bathyergidae. The record is from Ensembl.